GUGUGGGGGNCCUUUUCCGGGUUUUCCGCGCCGUAGCUAACGCAUUAAGUGCCCCGCCUGGGGAGUACGGCCGCAAGGCUAAAACUCAAAGGAAUUGACGGGGGCCCGCACAAGCGGCGGAGCAUGCGGAUUAAUUCGAUGCAACGCGAAGAACCUUACCAAGGCUUGACAUGGGCUGGAUUGCUUCGGAGACGGGGUUUCCCUUUUUUGGGCUGGUUCACAGGUGGUGCAUGGUUGUCGUCAGCUCGUGUCGUGAGAUGUNNNNNNAAGUCCCGCAACGAGCGCAACCCUUGUCUCGUGUUGCCAGCACGUUGUGGUGGGGACUCGCGGGAGACUGCCGGGGUUAACUCGGAGGAAGGUGGGGAUGACGUCAAAUCAUCAUGCCCCUUAUGUCUUGGGCUUCACGCAUGCUACAAUGGCCGGUACAGUGGGUUGCGAUGCUGUGAGGCGGAGCGAAUCCCUGAAAGCCGGUCUCAGUUCGGAUCGGUGUCUGCAACUCGACACCGUGAAGUUGGAGUCGCUAGUAAUCGCAGAUCAGCAGCGCUGCGGUGAAUACGUUCU
This 561-nucleotide ribosomal RNA is filed under the name uncultured bacterium. RNAcentral describes it as "bacterial SSU rRNA". It matches the Rfam family "Bacterial small subunit ribosomal RNA", at positions 820 to 1374 of the family's 1533-position model. The record is from RNAcentral.